Long non-coding RNA from Alosa sapidissima (American shad), 463 nucleotides. RefSeq lists it as uncharacterized. The record is from RefSeq and is a predicted model, not a curated record. NCBI's taxonomy places the organism in Eukaryota, Metazoa, Chordata, Actinopteri, Clupeiformes, Clupeidae. The transcript is spliced from 4 exons.
ACGACCCAAGCCUAACCCGCAGUAUGCUUCACUGACAAAUGUUGAUGUUGAUGCUUCAUCAUCACAUAGACCAAAGGUUUCAGAGAAGGCUGGUAGAGCUCUCUAUGAGUGUGAGCUGUGGGAGAUAACCAAGAACUGACAACCACCUAAAGAAGAGGUGGCGAUAAUAGCUCUCCAAGAGGAGGUUGUGAGUCUGAAGGCUUUUAUUCAACAAGGAGGCACUUAGAGGGAAUGCCUGGACCCUGAGAGGACUAAGACGAUAAUUGAGGCCACCCUGAAGCAGUUCCCAGGCCAGACACUCACUCCAGAUUGCUGGGCCAGGCAAUAAAUGCCAAAGUGACAGAACUGAGGUUCCAUAACAAAAACAAAGAUUUUCAAUAAAAUAGAAUAAAAGAUAACAGAAGUGUUGUGUGUUUCUUCCUCUUUAUACUGAUACUAUGGUUGAUUUUAAGUAAACACAAUA